GACGAACGCUGGCGGCGUGCUUAACACAUGCAAGUCGAACGCUGAAGCCCUUUCGGGGGUGGAUGAGUGGCGAACGGGUGAGUAACACGUGGGUAAUCUGCCCUGUACUUCGGGAUAAGCCCUGGAAACGGGGUCUAAUACCGGAUAGGACCUGUCCUCGCAUGGGGGUGGGUGGAAAGUUCCGGCGGUAUGGGAUGAGCCCGCGGCCUAUCAGCUUGUUGGUGGGGUGAUGGCCUACCAAGGCGACGACGGGUAGCCGGCCUGAGAGGGUGACCGGUCACACUGGGACUGAGACACGGCCCAGACUCCUACGGGAGGCAGCAGUGGGGAAUCUUGCGCAAUGGGCGAAAGCCUGACGCAGCAACGCCGCGUGGGGGAUGACGGCCUUCGGGUUGUAAACCUCUUUCGGCAUCGACGAAGGCAUCUCUGUGUGAGGUGUUGACGGUAGGUGUAGAAGAAGCACCGGCUAACUACGUGCCAGCCGCCGCAGUAA
Molecule: ribosomal RNA, 493 nt
Filed under: uncultured bacterium
Lineage: Bacteria
Description: partial 16S ribosomal RNA
Rfam family: Bacterial small subunit ribosomal RNA
Source: RNAcentral